GCUGGGACCACCAUGCCCACCAUGCCUACUUCCUGGACGGGUCUUUGCCCAAAGAAACAGGGACUCUGGAAGCUCACUCGGAAGCCAAUGAGGUGAAUGUCCCUUAAGUCUUCAGAUGCUUUCCAUGUGUUGUGGCGGAGGUCUUGAGGGAGCAUCUGUGGAUCUCAACUGGAAGAGGGCGUUUGGUCCUUGUGGGCUUCCUGAGAAUGACUCCUUAGUGCCUUCCUGUGAAUGGCACAGCACACACCAUAGUGUAGCUGCACAUACAGUUUGGGAAACCUCCCAGCCUCAGAAAUGCUUGCUUCAGAAAUGCCCCUCACAGCUGCAGCAAAGCGAAAAGCCCUGUCCUUGGGCACACACUGGCUGCAGCUGGUGCAGCAAAUGGGCUUCUGGUGCCAGGGCCUUCUGUGGCUAGCCCUUGGCACCUUCCUUUUUGGUCAUGAAAGUGAAGACACAAAAGAGCUGCAGCUCUGGCUUUCGAGGCCUGGGUCCCGGCAUUUGCAUCUCCGGAGAAGCUGUAGCUCUGCUCUGCUGAGCCAUGAAGCCCCUGGGCUCCCCCACAAGGGGCUGCUCUCCCCUUCCCCAUGUGACUCUCCUCCCCAUCCCGAUGAAGCUGUGUAUCAAUCCUAAGGGCCGUGCUUCUCCCUCAAACACUUGGACGGCAACCUGACGGGGCGUCUGACUCACAAGGAUUUCCGCUCCUGCCCAAGAGGCCUCAGCUACUACCUGCCCAUGCUGGAGGAGGGUGAGCCCGAGCCCAGGUUUGAGAAGUUCCUGGAUGCUGUGGACCCAGGAAGGUUCCAUUGGAAGCUGUGGAUGGGCACCAGAAGAUGAGGUUAGAGGGUCUGAGCUUCAGAGAUGUUUGUCCUUGCAGCUAGAAAGUAUAAGAAGUUUAUGAGAUCAGAAUACAUUAUCUCCAUUGACGUUACGGAUUUACAUUGUGGAGGGAGGGUAGCAACCCGAGGCUCAAUCUGUCACAUGUCAGUGAUCUCUUCUAUGAGGCCUUAAUGUCUCCAGGACUGAUGAGAGUUGGUGCCUUCCUUCAAGCUUGCAUGACGUCCCUGAGGAGCAGCUCAUCAGAGGUUCUGCUCUCCUCAGGGUAGCCUCUCGCCACCAAUCGAGAACUGCAGGAGUCUCCGGAAGGGUCAGGCCGAGACCUGCUAGAACUCAGCGCUGCCAGGGACGGUCCUGCCACUGCUCGACGUGGGGCCGCCGGCUCCGGACACCCCAACCAGAAGUCCAGCUUCCAGCUGGGGCCCGUCUGCUUCAGUAGCUGAGAGUCUCUGGGGUCUCGCGAGGGGGACAGUCGGGACCCCCCACGGGGGCACUAGUGGUGCUGAGGCCUCAGCCACCCUAUUUAUCCUCCCCUGCAACUGCCUCAUGGUCAGACAAGAGGAAUCUCCUUCCUUCUUCAGCCCCUGGGGUACCCCAAACUGCUCCCCUCCUCUCUUGGGGGGUGCAGUGGAAGUUCAGUUGGAAGUUUAGCACCCCUGCACCCCAUACAAAGGACUUCCAGCUCAGAGCUGAUGCAGCCCCCCAAAUAUCCUCCCGCCCUGUCCCCCCCAAAACUCUGGUGCUUCCGGACCUCCUUGUUGGCCACUGGAUUCCCUCCUGUUCAACGGAGACUGCUGGUUGUCUUCUCCUGACAUUUGGGGGAGCAGGGCGGGGUGGAGUCCCCAAGUGUGGGAACUAAAGUUGGACUCCAAAAGGAACUGGGACCCCCUGGCGGAGCUCUGUGGCCCACCCUCAACCCAACUCCUGAUGCUCACCACCCCUGCCUCCAACCCCCUCCCUCGAAUCACCGGGCUAGAUCAGAAGGUGGGGACAGGGUGGGGUGGAGUGGGGGUUGGGGUGACCCCGGAUCCCAAUGGUGCUGCCUUCAUUCUCCAGGCGUCCAUGUGCCAAGAGGAGGCCACCUCUGGUGGAUUUGACUCGCUUACACCCGCCAAGGGCUGGAGGGGAUGAGAGAGUCCAGCAUCUUCCAGCCCUGCCUGCGACCUGCUGGGCCUCGGGUCAGAGAAUAAACUGGUGACCUGUGUCCAGGUGUCCGUGCUACCUGGAGCUCGCCCCACUCACCCUCUGUGCGGAGGGACACCCAGUGCACAGUGCUCCAGAGCCAGCUGCCCGAGAGCAAACAGGGUGACACAGGAGAGGCUGUGCCUCCCCGAAGUACGAUGUCUCCAACCAACUCAGUUCUAAAGGUCUCCAGACCCCACGUCCCCACACCACAGCACCCCACAUUGCUGAGGGUGCCAUCUUCCAUCCUGGGAGAGUUUUGGGGUCCCUAUACACACAAGAAGUCCCAUGUCUUCUGUUCUGCGUGGAGGAGAGUGGCAGAGGCCAGAUUCAACUAUAGCAUCUCCAGAUGUCUGGGGUGAAGGUAACAGCCAUCAGAGGAACUGGGGUUGGGUUAAGAAGAAUUUUUAUUAACACAGGAAUAAUGAGCCUAAGACCUGGUAAUCUCCCCCAUGGAUAUUAUAAAUACAUUACUUCUGCCGAGGAAUUCCUUUUUUGC
Molecule: long non-coding RNA, 2515 nt
Organism: Sorex araneus (European shrew)
Lineage: Eukaryota; Metazoa; Chordata; Mammalia; Eulipotyphla; Soricidae
Exons: 7
Source: RefSeq, a predicted model, not a curated record